GGACUACCCGGGUAUCUAAUCCUGUUUGCUCCCCACGCUUUCGCGACUCAGCGUCAGUACCCUCCCAGAUGGCCGCCUUCGCCACCGGUGUUCCUCCCAAUAUCUACGAAUUUCACCUCUACACUGGGAAUUCCGCCAUCCUCGUCGGGACUCAAGCUCGCCAGUUUCGGACGCACUUCCAUGGUUGAGCCAUGGGUUUUCACAACCGACUUAACGAGCCGCCUACUCGCGCUUUACGCCCAAUAAUUCCGAGCAACGUUUGCACCCUCUGUAUUACCGCGGCGGCUGGCAC
RNAcentral lists this ribosomal RNA (292 nucleotides) under uncultured bacterium. Its description in RNAcentral is "partial 16S ribosomal RNA". The record is from RNAcentral.